UCACCAACCAGGAAAGGAUGUCAGAGACACCGAUGCAAAACCAUGGGACCCUAUAUUACCAGUUUGAAGAAGACCUGUCGCAGAUGGCUUUGCAUCUGAUCAGAACCAACAACCCUGAACUGGCGGUAAGAAAACCAAUGAAAGGCCCAGAAAAAGAAUCCAAUUAUUCACAUGAUGCUACAUGAUGUUUUCGUCCUUUGUUUACUUUCUAGAUUACAGAGAGGUUAGAACAAUUAGUUCAGCAGAACCAAAUACAAAUCCACGAAGAAACUCCAGCUAAGUUCUUGGAGCUUAUUGAGCUUUCUCGUGCAGCAACUCAUGAAAAUCUGGAAUCUGUUUGGAAGCAGUGUGCCAAAAGGCAGCAAUACAGGUAACUGCUUUAUUUGUUUUAUGUUGUGUUGCUUUCUUUCUUUUUGGACUCACACUUUAAAUUGGCACAGCCACACCCAGAUAUGAAGGUAGACCCUUCUUUAAUCUGUGGAUCCUCUGGUAGCCGGCAGUGGGGGUUACUUUUCAAAUUUCCAACAUUUGGUAGCCACACUACAUCAUGGAAUGCACAAUUUCCCCUUUUAAAAAUAAUCUGCAAAUACAAAAAGAAAAAAAAGCGAGAGACAGAGAGAAAUAGGUAAGAGAAUAUAGAAUGUAUUUAUGGGCUAAGAACAGAUGUUAAUAUAAGCUGAACAUACAUCCAAAACAUUUCCUUGGCUGUGUAUUCAUAAUUACAUAGUCAUAAAAUGUUCUUGCCAUUCGAAACUGUAUGGAGAAAACCUGUUCUUCCAACCUUCAAGUAUGUUUUGUCACUUCAUUAAGGGUCCACAGGAUCCGACCAUCCUGUCUAUCAGUUAUCUCCCAACCAACCCUUCUCUUUACAGGUAUUGGCUACUGAGUGCCGUUGCUGUUGCAGGCACCUCAGACACACUGGCAUUCCUGAAACAAAGAAUUCUCAGUGAGGACCUAAACGUCUUGGAGUCAGCGAUCACUCUCACUUUGGCCUUCCAUUUAACAAAAACUGAUAAGCUUACCUUCAAAGUAGCAGCAGAACUACUGACCAGCCAGGCUGUCCGAAAGUCCUUGAUACUUCACAAACUUUGCUUAUUUUGGCAUAUGGUUCCAUGAUAAACAGGCAUUGUUGGUGCCUUCGUCCAAUUUGCCCUACUGAAAUCUCAGGUAAUAUCCUGUUUCUGGGUGCACAAAAUGUUGCCAAUGCAUUUCUGACUAGUUAAUUAUGUCAUUAUUAAGUCUUCUCAUCAACGACAAGUCUAACCCUGCAAGGAGCCCAAUUCGAUAUGCAUGGUGACAUCUCUUCCUUGGAUGAGACAAUUUGUUUGCUUUUUAACCAUCUGCCCAAAACCCUCAACCUUUUAAAGUUAUGCUUUUCAUGAAAUAAAAUCUGUGCCAAAGUUUCCCAUCCAAGACUCUCUCUGUCAACACUGUUUCAUUCUCAUAUAUUUCCAGAUGACAAGAAAUUCUGAAGCUAGUGCUAUCAAGAUGAGUUUCUUUUGUCAAACUUUGCUUUUGUAGGAGACGUGUCCUGUCAGUAAAAGAACAGAUCCUUUAAAGCUUAGGAGAUUGAGAAUUUGUGGGAAAUGAAAAAGGAUUUCAGGGGCUAUCACUGGAAACCUUCUCCAGGUGUUCCCGCUCCCAUGAUUUCAUUUAACCCCACAACACUACUGCUUCCUAGUUUCCCAGCUUUUGUAAUCCCCCUCCCUAAUGCAUCAUCGAAUGUUUGGGGGCCUAAAUAUCCUAAAGGUACCUGAUCCUGUCAGAUAUUGAAAGCUGAGGAAGAUGGUCUCUGGUUAUUACUUGGAUGGGAGACCACCAAGAAAUACCAGGUUAUUGUAGGACAUAUUUCAGAGCAAGAACAAGAAAUUAGUAAAAAUCACCUCUGAGUAUUCUUGCCUACGAAAGCCCUACGAAAUUUGUGGAGUCACUAUAUGUUAACAGGCACGUUUUUUUUUUAACUAGGGAUGAAGGACAGAUGUUGGCAUGGGUGUGAACAAAGAGGGGUGUUUAAUCACAUGAUAUGGGAUGCGAUCGAGUGCAAGAAUACUGGAGAAUGAUUGAAGGAGAAAUCAAUAGAAUGCUAAAUCUACAAAUAGUAAUAGUUAAUAGAAAUGUUUUACAUGCAAGGAUAACAGAAGUGAAGAAUAUACAAAAAGAAAAAAUGGUUGACAAAUGAAUAGCAUGUGCACAAAUUGUUUUAGUGAGGGGUUGGAAAGAUAAAGCAAAAUGGACUCUGACGAAUUGGUAUAAGUAUCAACAUAUAGUUGAUAUGUUAAAUAUGGAAAUAACAAAUUGCAAAUGGAACAAUAUAGAUAAAUUUGAAAAGACUGCAAUAAUCAAGGGGAUUCGGGAACCAGUUAAGAAUUAUUUAGAGAAUGUGCUAAGAUGUGGAGUGGAAAAAUUAAGACUGAGAUUGAUAUUUCAAAUGAAACUUCUGUAGUUUGUUGUAUAAAUUGCAUGUACAAGGAGGGGAGGUUGGGAGUGGGAUAAAAUAAUAAAACAUUUUUUUUAAAGGCAGGCAGUUUGAAAGCACAUACACACACAAAGGUUGAAUGUUGUUUUUGAUCCUGCUCAUGUGCCUUUGUCUCCCUUCACCACUAGAGUGCAGCCUUUAGAACUUUUCCAAAACUGAAUUUAUCCCUCAAGGUCAAAGAGUUUCCUUAACUUUCAUUUGAAAUAUUAUGAAGUUUCUUUAAUCAAAUACCCUGAUCACUUCAGCAAAACCAUGUUGAUAGAUGAGAAAGCAAAGUGAUGAGGCUUGCUAUAAAAUUUUUGAAUAGGAUUAUUUUCCGAGUAGGGACUGACUCAUUGGGAUGCUUAAUGGAUUGAACCUUUGCAAAUUUUGAUAUGAACUGAAUUGCCUGUACCUCUACUUUGUAGACCGCAAUACACAUAUAUACCACUGGUCUAGUUCCACCAUUGCUAAAUAAUUCAAGGUUUUUUUUAAUGAUUUCUCCAUAAAUGGGUCAGAAAUAACUUUAGAUGCGAAAAGUUCAGAUGCCUCCAAACUACCCUGCAAUUGCUUUUUGCCACCAUAGCCGUAUUGUGUAUUCACUUCCUGAACAACAACAUUUAGAGCUUUGAGGCCAGAAAAGCUCAUCUGUCUGCCUUGGGUACUUUAUGAUGAAGUGAAUGUAGAACAUACACACAAAAGGGAGGUGGGAAAGGAAAUCUGAUCUGGGUGGGACAGAUGAUGGAACAUUGGCAAAAAAGAACAACUUUCAGUGUUUGUUUAAAACUUCACUCCCCAGAAAAUGGUGUGUUUCUGACAUCUGUGUAUCUAUAAAACAGAGAUUCUUCUCGAAUGUGUGUGUAUUACUGGGCACAGUUACAGUGUUGGACCAGGAUGUGGGAGCUGCAGUUUGGGGUCCCUACUGAACCAUACAAUUCCUUGGGUCACGUUGGGCCAAUAACAGUCUCUCAAAUGGACUUACCUCAGAGGACUGAUGUAAGGAUAAGUAGAGAGGAUCAUGGUGUAUUGGAGGAAUGACAAGACAUAAAAGGCAAGAGUAAUAUAUAAUAAAAAUUAUAGAAAAGAUAGUCACAUUAUUGACUGACUUUUGAUACUGAUUGUGUUUUUUCAGCCUCUCCAUGAUCUUGCCAUGGGGGCCUAUAAGAGCCACGAGGAAAAUGCAGCUCUGGCUCUGAAAGCCAUGGGCAAUGCUGGAGAACCUGCCAGCAUCAACUACAUCAAGAAAUUCCUGCCAGGAUUUUCAACUAAUGCUAAUGACCUGCCAGCGAGACUCCAGAGAAUUGCAAUCCAGUCCUUGAGGAAAAUAUCAAGAAAAAAAGCUGCAACAGUAAGCAAAGUCAUUCAUUGUUAAAUCAAAAAUUGUACACAGCCAAUGGAAUCCAAGACAUUAGCUGUAAAGAAAGUGGUUUGAUGCAGGGGAAUGGGCAAGAUCUAGGACUCAUAGAAACCAUCCACAACGCAAAUGAUUUUGCUAAACAUAUAUCAGUUUAUUUAAUAAAGAUUCCAGUCCUUAUAGUUUUAUUUUGGAUUUUCAAAGGCAGUUGCAACUGAUGGCUCCCAACUCAAUGGAGCUGUAAAUUUACUCCAAACUUUAGCCUCAAUAUGAAGUUGUUGAUCCUAUUUUGGGGAUGGGGAUCAGCAUGUAGAACAGUUCCUUUUAACUUCUUUAAAGUUUAGAUCUAAAUCAGAAUCAGAUUCACUCUGGAGUGGCAUGGAGGCCACCCAGCUGCUGUUUGCCCAAAGGCUCAAAAGCCAGUUUUUUUCAUUGCAAAUAUUGCAUGGCAUUUUCAUGAUCUCUUUCCUAUACCCAGGGAAAAGAAACUGCAAUCACCCUAUUGCUAUAAUAGCAUUCCUGUUCACAUAUACACUUGAAAAUUAUUAACUGCAUUUGAAGUGUCAAGUCAUUCAUGGAUAACUACAACAGCAAUACAGUAGAGUCUCACUUAUCCAAGCUAAACGGGCCGGUAGAAGCUUGGAUAAGCGAAUAUCUUGGAUAAUAAGGAGGGAUUAAGGAAAAGCCUAUUAAACAUCAAAUUAGGUUAUGAUUUUACAAAUUAAACACCAAAACAUCAUGUG
Molecule: long non-coding RNA, 4552 nt
Organism: Anolis carolinensis (green anole)
Lineage: Eukaryota; Metazoa; Chordata; Lepidosauria; Squamata; Anolidae
Source: Ensembl